GUGAAACUAUAAUCCCUUCGUCAAUAUGAUCCGAUCAAUUACGAGAUAUGGAAUUGUGUCAAUCCCAAAUAUCGAUCAUAUCUUUCACUCCACUAUUAAGUCAAUAUAAGUCGAAAACUCCUUUUCGACUUAUGAGUCCACCUUAGCCAAGGAUUUCGUUAUCAACUUAAUUGAAUGAAACUCAGAUCAUAAUCUCCUACUAUCUAAGAGUGACGAAUCCUUUAUUGGUCAAUCACAAUCUUCAUACGAUUCUUGACGUACCCGAAC
RNAcentral lists this long non-coding RNA (267 nucleotides) under Olea europaea (common olive). RNAcentral describes it as "long non-coding RNA (OEUR_LNC013064)". Lineage: Eukaryota; Viridiplantae; Streptophyta; Magnoliopsida; Lamiales; Oleaceae. The record is from RNAcentral.